This 495-nucleotide ribosomal RNA is filed under the name Triticum aestivum (bread wheat). RNAcentral's name for it is "partial small subunit ribosomal RNA". The record is from RNAcentral. Lineage: Eukaryota; Viridiplantae; Streptophyta; Magnoliopsida; Poales; Poaceae.
AUGGCAAGCACUGCCCAAGUCAACUCGUUGUUGUCCGUCGCCGCGGAACUUGAGCCGAAGGAGUUCGUCGCCUCCUUCCCUUCGAGCAUGGGUCUAUUAGGCAAGUCCAUCAUCAUUGAUCUGCCUUGCUUCCACCGCACCACCUCCAUCAUGUUGGACCAUAUAUUCAUUCGCUCUGUGCCAGUCGGCGUCGAGUUCCCUAUGCUCGAGAUGUUGUCCCUAUUACACUGUAAUGGCAACCUCGAUGCCUUGCUCUCAUGUUGCCCACGGUUGUGCACCCUCCUCCUCAGCGGCAUUUUAUUCGAGACGUGUGAUCUAAGGGUGAAUUCGCCGUCACUCCAGGAUCUUGUUGUGAGGCCCUUCUCGACAGAACGGGUCAACAUUAUAGCCCCCAUGCUUAAGAAACUGGAGAUUCUCUUUACCGUGAUGUUGGACGUCAACAUUUCGGUCUUUGCACCAAUUAUGGAGAAAGCUGGUGGUACUGCUACUACAUAG